This 253-nucleotide ribosomal RNA is filed under the name uncultured bacterium. RNAcentral's name for it is "partial 16S ribosomal RNA". It matches the Rfam family "Bacterial small subunit ribosomal RNA", at positions 524 to 776 of the family's 1533-position model. The record is from RNAcentral.
UACAGGGGGUGCAAGCGUUGCUCGGAAUCAUUGGGCGUAAAGCGCACGUAGGCGGUUCGUUAUGUCGGAUGUGAAAGCCCUUGGCUUAACCGAGGAAGUGCAUCCGAAACUGGCGAGCUAGAGUACUAAAGAGGAUCGCGGAAUUCCCGGUGUAGAGGUGAAAUUCGUAGAUAUCGGGAGGAACACCGGUGGCGAAGGCGGCGAUCUGGGUAGAUACUGACGCUGAGGUGCGAAAGCGUGGGUAGCAAACAGG